GGCAGGGAUCAAGCUGUCUGCCACCAUCAGGGAGAGCUCCUGGAAGCAGGGGAGGAAAUCCUGGAAGAAGAUCUGGGCCAGACAGCCCACCGCACGAAUAAACCCACUAGUGCCUUGCUCCCAGUGCCUCCCAGGUGGUGGCAACAUGGAGAAACCAUGGGGCCUGAUUUCCAGGCAGUUCCUCAGAGCGAUGAACCAGAGACCGGGUGGCUGAACGAGAAGAUCCAGGAUUGCUUACUGGUUUUGUAUUAUCUGUGGAUCUGUGCCCCUCGAGUCCCCUUAAAAUGUCAGGUGAUGACAAUACAAAUUAAACUCCUGAGCCUGCAUUUUUCCUCUGGGCCAUGAUGACUAAGAGGGAUGAAUCUGCACUUCUCCUUGGGGCAACUGCAGGGCAAGAGGAAGACUGUUGAAGCUCUCACUCCUCAGUGAGCUCGGGUUUCCCCUGGUGCAGAUCAGUAGGUCCAGGAGCAUCUCCUUCCUCCAGUUGAGCUGGGAAUGCAAACCAGAGACGUCUCUAACAGUGACUGAUGCGGAGGUGAUGACCCGCUGGCCAGGCAAAGCUUUCCCUCUCUGUUCUCCUCCCGCUCCGUGUGCCAGUAAUUGCCUGAUGUCCGUGACAAAUGGCGGGUAAAUCCCAGGCUGAGAGCUCAGAAUGGACUUCAGAGGGUUCUCUUCCUGGCAAGCUCUUGUGGAAAGAGGUGAAGGACUGCUGGCCCUGAGGCGGUCUCUGCUCAAGCCCACCUGGUGGAGGUCAGGAAUGGGGCCCGGGGUGAGUUCACCUUCAGCAGCCCCCAUCUGCAGACAGACAAAGGCAACCAUGGUUUCGAGCCUGGUCAGUUUCUUAAUCCUCUAUAAGCACACACGUCCCUCACUGCAAAUUCUUACCCCAAACUGGAACUCAGCAGAAGAAAUCAAUUAAUGCGGCAGAUGUUUCUCCUCUUGCAUGUUUUCUCUUAAGCAAAGUACAUUGCACAAGUAGCAAGACUAGUAAUAAUAUUAAGUCCAUGCUAACCCAACUCAAUUCCAAGUGUGAGAUCUGGAAAGGUAAGUUGGGGAGAAUUUUUAUGAUAAAGGCACAGUUCUUGGAAGACAUAACAGCACUAUGUCAUGUGCUACCUUUAACUUGGAGGACAUGAACUUGGGAGUCAGACCAACCUAUGGUCAAAUCCCAGUCCUUCUAUUAUGUAAUAAUAUGACCCACAAUAGUGGGUCAUGGUUGGGCCAUUUCCUAAAUCAUGGGAUGAUAAGAUUUGAUGAGAGAAUUAAAUCAGCGAGCAUUUAUCCAGACCUUUGCCCUUGGCCCAUAGGAGGCGUCUAAUAAAUGGUGGCUUUUGUCUCCCUUUCUUCAACCCCUAAAUAAGCACAACCUAGCUUGUGCAUUAACUCCUGUUUCAAACUCCGUGUCUUGAGACGUUGAAGCAAAUUCAUACCUUCGAUAAACAGCUUUAUAAUGGGCUGCUCUUGUGCCGAAUAUACCAAACUCAGACAGACAGGCAAGGAUCUAGGAAAUCUAAGAGAAGCAAACUCUGCUCACUUCCACGACCCUCGGACACAUCACAAUGUCACACAUGUCACACGCUCACCUGACAGGAAAUCUCCCAUCCUUUUCCACCAGAGGGAAAGCAGUGCCUGGGUCAGCUCCAAAACUAGUCAUAAAGGGACCCUGGGUGUGUAGGGGGCUGGGGAAGGAAGCUAGAAAGAGAGGUUAGAGGGCAUCAGCUUGUUCUUGACCUCUGGCUACAUCUCCGGGUCAACUGUCACAGGCCCAGGGUGCCUUUGGCCAUCAGGGAAUGAGAACUUGAGUGGUGUGCGGGGUGCCCAGUCCCACAAGGCAGGUGGCCCAGACAAUGACGAGGAGACAGUGAGUCGCCUUGCCCUCCUGUCCUUCCUUGACAGCUCCUAUAACAUUAUAGAUCCCUCAAGACCAAAUCACUUCCUUCUUAAGCUGUCCUUACAUUUGGAACUCCCAUAAAGACAGCAAUAAAAAGAGAGGUACCCUCAGAUAGCCAUCUGCAGGUGUUCCAAGACGCAGCAAGUCAUGUGAAUCCCCCCUUAGGCCAGUGGAUUCACUCCAUCUGUGCUUGCAAUUCAGUGGAGACCAGUAUUUUCUGAUGUGCAGCUUGCUUGAAAUGUCUGUUUCUUUUUUACACACCAAAGAAGAAAAAUCCACAUUUCCAUCCAUAUUAUUAGAACCAAAAAUAGCCCAUAUCAUUUCCCCCAAACAAUUACAUUCUGUGCCUCAACUUUAAAGGUUGUUGUGUUCCCUCCUACUUUCUCCUUUUAUUACACAAGAUUUCCAGUUAUUCCGUAUUUUGUUCUCAUUAGAACACUGCUUGUCACAUGUUUUCACCAGAGACAUUCAUCACCGAGGUCAAAGGGUGAAUAUCAUGAUCUAUUAUGCUUAGAGGAAUCUAAUGAAAAGCCACAUAAUUAUCCAAUUUAAAGAAAAGCAUGUUAAAAAAAAAAAAAGAAGGGGAGCACUUGCCAUAAUUUAAAUUGUUUUGUUUCCCUGAAGCAAAAUUCAGCCCCUGAUUGACAGGACCUAAUGAUAAUUCUUAUUGAUAUGGUGAUGUUAAUUGUGGAGAGAUAUUUAAUAAGUCCCACAUUCUGGAGGUAAAUGUGUGCUCUUAACCUGCACCUGAACCUGAUUUUUGAUGCAGCGUGCGGAUGAGGUACAGAUACAGAUAAGUGAGCACAAGUGGAUUUUCAGUCUUCUGUGGCGGCAUGGAAAUUGGAAUCCUCAGAAUCUAUUAGGAGAACAAUUCCACAGUUGCUCACACUUUUAUAAAUUAUAUUGUCUAUUAGCGAAAGACACAAAGUCAGGGGAGGUUCAAGAGAGGAUACUUCGAGACUUCGCAGAGAAGUUUUUAGGGUGAUAUUUGGUGGUGGCGAUGUGUUGUUGCUUUUAAUCAAAGACAUACACCAAAGAGUGUGAUCUGUAUUCACUCCAUUUUCUGUGUUAACUCUUUCCCACCCCGAGGGGAGGCCUUGCUGAAAAUGAGGGCAACUUUUAAACCUAAGCAGAUUAUUGAAAGAAAAGGAAUUCUCGCACCGCGAGGGAAACCAUUUGAGAAGGUGUUCAUGGGCCUAAAUGCCCAAAGGAAGUGACCUGUGGGGGCUGAAAGUUCAACAAGGUCUGUGUCCCCUUGUGAGAUUGCUGCUGGGCUGAGAGACCUUGGGAAAGUUACUCAACCUCUCUGAGAGGUUCUUUCCUCUCAUGUAAAGUGAUGGCGACAGUAGUGCCCUUCUCCUAGAGUUGUUGAAUGAAAUUAUUCACAUAAACCACUUCUCAGCACUGCUGGCCUACAGUAAGUGCCCCAAACACAGUAGCUAUUAUUCUUGUUUAUUACAAUUAGCACCAAGAGCAGAGAAAACCCAAAGUCAGCAAAGAGCUAAUCCUCCUGAUAGGGAUUCCAGGCCCUAAAGAAACAGGUGCUGAGCUGUGGACAGAGAUGGGAUCAGCACUAACUUUCUGAAACUUUCCAAAAGCAUUACCAGGACCAGAGCGGAUGGGUCGUCACUAGGUCAGGUUAUGUAUGAUUUGACUCUUUAAGCAGAAACCUUCUCUCAAUCAGAAGCUAUGUGUUUCUUGUGUUUUUAUCAUGGUCUAACAAAGUUUUCAGUAUUGGAACUUCAAAACUGCAUCUUCUAUCUUCUAACUGCAGCCUUAUCAUUUGGAAAGUAAUCCUCAUAUAGCAAAUAAUACAAAGUAAAAAAAAAAAAA
Molecule: long non-coding RNA, 3724 nt
Filed under: Sus scrofa (pig)
Lineage: Eukaryota; Metazoa; Chordata; Mammalia; Artiodactyla; Suidae
Description: lncRNA (ENSSSCG00065031120.1)
Source: RNAcentral